RNAcentral lists this ribosomal RNA (1131 nucleotides) under Triticum aestivum (bread wheat). RNAcentral's name for it is "partial small subunit ribosomal RNA". The record is from RNAcentral. Lineage: Eukaryota; Viridiplantae; Streptophyta; Magnoliopsida; Poales; Poaceae.
AUGAGCGCCGCCGCGGCCAACGUCGCCGUCAUCGGAGCCGGAAUGACGGGCGCCGUGUGCGCGUCGCUCCUAGCCGCGCGUGGGGUGGCGGUGACGCUCUUCGACUCCGGCCGCGGCCCCGGCGGCCGCAUGGCGCAGCGGAGGGAGGUGAUGGACGACGGCACGGAGCUGCGGUUCGACCACGGCGCGCCCUACUUCACCGUCAGCAACGACGAGGUCGCCCGGGUCGUGGGCGGGUGGGAGGCGCGGGGGCUCGUCGCCGAGUGGAAGGCCAUGUUCGCCUGCUUCGAUCGGGAGACCGGCAAAUUCAGAGACUUCGAUAAGGUUCUGGAGGGAACCAUGAAGAAGUAUGUUGGAGUUCCAGGCAUGAACUCAAUAUGCAAAUCCCUGUGUCAAGAGGAUGGUUUGGUGACCAAAUUUGGUGUCACUAUUGGAAAGAUGGAUUGGCUUCAAGAUAGGAGCUCAUGGUCUUUGGCUAGCUUGGAUGGCAAAGAUCUUGGCAGUUUUGAUUUUGUUGUGGCAACAGAUAAGAACAUAGCCUCACAAAAAGUUUCUGGGUUGACUGGAAAGCCACCGCCUCUUGAUUUGUCAGUAUUUCCACACUUGUCAGCAAUGAUUCAAGAUAUCCCAGUUCGCCCCUGUUUUGCUCUGAUGUUAGCGUUCUCAGAGCCUCUUGCGAUGGUACCUGUCCAAGGGUUCUCUUUCUACAAUUCUGAUUCUCUAAGCUGGGCCUUUUGUGAUAGUAGUAAGCCAGGACGUCAUGUACCUCCUAAUAGCCAAUCGUGGGUGUUGCGUUCAACCACCGAGUAUGCUUCUAAGGUAAUAGACAGUAUGGGUCCCCGGAAACCUUCAGCAGAUGCCCUUGCUAAGGUUGCAGAGGAACUGUUCAGAGAAUUUCAGGCUACAGGACUGAACAUUCCACAGCCAAUCUUUAUGAAAGCUCAUAGAUGGGGUGGUGCUUUCCCAGCAAUUUCUAUUGGCGGUGAUGAUAAGUGUGUCUGGGAGAAGAACAUGAAAUUGGCUAUCUGUGGAGAUUUCUGCGCUAGUCCAAGUGUCGAAGGGGCUGUCCUUAGUGGCAUGAGAGGAGCUUCCAAAAUCCUUGGAUGUUUAAACUUACCAUCAGGGUUGUGA